AUUGAACGCUGGCGGCAUGCUUUACACAUGCAAGUCGAACGGCAGCGCGGGCUUCGGCCUGGCGGCGAGUGGCGAACGGGUGAGUAAUGCAUCGGAACGUGCCCAGUAGUGGGGGAUAGCCCGGCGAAAGCCGGAUUAAUACCGCAUACGACCUGAGGGUGAAAGCGGGGGACCGAAAGGCCUCGCGCUAUUGGAGCGGCCGGUGUCGGAUUAGCUAGUUGGUGGGGUAAAGGCUUACCAAGGCGACGAUCCGUAGCUGGUCUGAGAGGACGACCAGCCACACUGGGACUGAGACACGGCCCAGACUCCUACGGGAGGCAGCAGUGGGGAAUUUUGGACAAUGGGGGCAACCCUGAUCCAGCCAUGCCGCGUGCGGGAAGAAGGCCUUCGGGUUGUAAACCGCUUUUGUUCGGGAAGAAAUCCUCUGGGCUAAUACCCCGGGGGGAUGACGGUACCGGAAGAAUAAGCACCGGCUAACUACGUG
Molecule: ribosomal RNA, 484 nt
Filed under: uncultured bacterium
Lineage: Bacteria
Description: partial 16S ribosomal RNA
Rfam family: Bacterial small subunit ribosomal RNA
Source: RNAcentral